This 499-nucleotide ribosomal RNA is filed under the name uncultured bacterium. RNAcentral describes it as "partial 16S ribosomal RNA". It matches the Rfam family "Bacterial small subunit ribosomal RNA", at positions 29 to 523 of the family's 1533-position model. The record is from RNAcentral.
AUUGAACGCUGGCGGCAUGCCUUACACAUGCAAGUCGAACGCGAAAGGGGGGCAACCCCUGAGUAGAGUGGCGCACGGGUGAGUAAUGCAUCGGAACGUGUCCUGUAGCGGGGGAUAACCUAGCGAAAGCUAGGCUAAUACCGCAUACGCCCUAAGGGGGAAAGUGGGGGAUCGUAAGACCUCACACUAUAGGAGCGGCCGAUGCCGGAUUAGCUAGUUGGUGGGGUAAAGGCUCACCAAGGCGACGAUCCGUAGCUGGUCUGAGAAGAUGAUCAGCCAAACUGGGACUGAGACACGGCCCAGACUCCUACGGGAGGCAGCAGUGGGGAAUGUUGGACAAUGGGGGAAACCCUGAUCCAGCCAUGCCGCGUGAGUGAAGAAGGCCUUCGGGUUGUAAAGCUCUUUCGGCCGGGACGAAAUCGCACGCGUGAAUAUCGUGUGCGGAUGACGGUACCGGCAGAAGAAGGACCGGCUAACUACGUGCCAGCCGCCGCAGUAA